GUUGGAGAAGAGAGUAAAAAGAGGCCGCUUACCGGAUUUGAAAUUGGUGAAAUGUUUCUUGGGCUGGUGGGUCUGAGGACCUGAGGUCACAGGUGGAUCUUUUCUCACGGAGCAAAGAGCAGGAAGACAGGGGAUUGAUCUCCCAAGGGAGGUCCCCUGAUCCGAGUCAUGGUACCAAAUUUUAUGCGCGUCCAUGUGAAGAGACCACCAAACAGGCUUUGUGUGAGCAAUAAAGAUGUUUAUUUCACCUGGGUGCAGGAGGGCUGAGUCGGAAAAGAGAGUCAGUGAAGGGAGAUAAGGGUGGGGCCGUUUUAUAGGAUUUGGGUAGGUAAAGGAAAAAGGGGGGUUGUUCUCUGGCGGGCAGGAGUGGGGGGUCACAAGGUGCUCAGUAGGGGAGCUUUUGAGCCAGGAUGAGCCAGGAGAAGGAAUUUCACAAGAUAGUGUCAUCAGUUAAGGCAGGAACAAGCUAUUUUCAAUUCUUUUGUGGUGGAAUGUCAUCAGUUAAGGUGGGGCAGGGCAUAUUCACUUGUUGUGUGAUUCUUCAGUUACUUCAGGCCACCUGGGCGUAUACGUGCAAGUCACAGGGGAUGUGAUGGCUUGACUUGGGCUCAGAGGCCUGACAAGACUGAACUAGGGUUGGGAUUGUGUGACAAGCUGGUCUCUAUCAACCGUGUCUGUGUCCACGGCAUUGUUGUGUUGCGAUCGCGCUCCUCCUAGGUCAGAACUUACAGUGGGAGUUUGGGAGGCCGAAGUGGGUGGAUCACCUGAAAUCAGGAGUUCAAGACCAGCCUGGCCAACAUGGUGAAAUCCUGGCUCUUUACAAAUACAAAAAUUAUGGUGGGCACGGUGGCUCUCGCCUGUAAUCUCUGCACUUUGGGAGGCCAAGGCAGGCGGAUCACUGAGGUCAGGGGUUCGAGACCAGCCUGGCCAACAAGAUGAAACCCCAUCUCUACUAAAAAUACAAAACAAUUAGCUGGGUGUGGUGGCGGGUGCCUGUAAUCCCUGGCUACUCAGGAGGCUGAGGCAGGAGAAUUGCUUGAACCUGGGAGGCGGAGGUUGCAGUGAGCUGAGAUUACGCCACUGCACUCCAGCCUGGGUGGACAGAGCAAGAAUCGGAAAGCCUGACUCCAAUGGGGAUAAUUGGAUCUCAGGGUGGCAGGGACCAAGUGACAGAACUUAAUGACCAAAGGCAAGGUGGGUGGUUACCGCUUGGACAGCAGAGUCAGAGCAGCCACCAGAGUGCUAUGACUUGGCCGGGCGGUGGUUCAUGCCAGUAAUCCCAACACAUUGGGAGGCCCAGGUGGGAGAAUCUCUUAAGGCCAGGAGUUCGAGACUAGCCUGGGCAACAUAGUGAGACCUGUCUCUACAAAAAGUUUAAACAAUUAGCCAGAUGUGGUGGUGCAGGCCUGUGGUCCCAGCUACUCGGGAGGCUGAGGCAGGAGGAUCACUUGAGCCCAGGAGGUCGAGGCUGCAGUGAGCUGUGAUUGUGCCACUGCACUCCAGCCUGGGCAACAGAAUGAGACUCUAUCUCUAAAGAUAAUACAUUUUUAAAAAGAAUUCCAGGAAUCCACCCCUAACACCAGCCCCUCCCCUCCCUCUGCAGAACAAAGGCCCCAUCAGAGGGGACAUGCUGGGCGUCAGGGUCGGCUUCCGGGAGGAGGAAGGCGGAGGUGCACAGGCCCUGACAGGAUAGAGGGAGCCGCGGAAGGGAGGCCGGCCUGGUGGAACCUUGAGGGAAGGCAAUGAUCCUGCAUCCCUCCAGGGGGCGCUGGAGAGCCAUAGAGUUCUUUUUGUUAACAGCUUCAUUGAGACCUGAUUCAUACAUAAAAUUCACCCAUUUAAAGCGUACAGUUCAAUGGCUUUUAGUGUAUUUAUAGGGUUGUGCACCUGUCACCACAAUCAAUUCUAGAAUAUUUUCAACAUCCCCAAAAGAAACUCUGAACCUCCUAACAGUGAUCGCCGGCCCCCAGUCCUCGGCAACCACUAAUCCCCUUUCUGUCUCCAUGGGUUUGCCUAUUCUGGACAUUUCACGUAAGUGGAAUCACGCUACACUGCCCUUUGUGACUGGCUUCUUUCAGUAGCAUGUCUUCCAGCUGCAGCACUGCUGUAGUGUCUGUCAGUCAUUCCAUUUUUUUGUGUGUAUUUUUUGUUUUGUUUCUUUUUUAGAGACAGGGUCUCGCUCCGUUGCCCAGGCUGAGUGCAGUGGUGUGAUCUCGGCUCACUGCAACCUGGAUCACCCAGGCUCAAGCGAUCUUCCCACCUCAGCCUCUCAAAUAGCUAGGACUACAGGCAUAUACCACCACGCCCAGCUAUUUUUUGUAUCUUUUGUAGAGAUGGGGUCUCACUAUGUUGUCCAGGCUGGUCUCGAUCUCCUGGGCUUAAGCCUCAGCCUCCCAAAGAGCUAGGAUUAAAGGCGUGAGUCACCACGCCCAGCCUGUCAUUCCUUUUCAUUGCUGAAUGAUAUUUCAUUGUCCUGGAAGAACUCUGAGCAGAGAAGGGACAGAGUCGGGCUAGCGCUUUAUCCCUCCAGUGGAUUAGACGGGGUAGGAUGGGUUGAAUUGUGUCCCGCCAGAGGGUAUGCUAAUUCCUCUUCCCAGCGCCUGUGCAUGUGACCUUAUUUGGAAAAAGGGUCUUUUCAGAUGAGGUCAUAGGGUGGGCUCUGGUCCAAUAUGACACAUGCCCUUCUAUAAAAGGGGACUGCCGGCAGUGUGACAGAAGCUAGAGAGAGGCAGGGAAGACUCCUGGCAGGUUCCCGAGGGAGCUCAGCCCAGCCAACACCUUGACUUCCAAUUUCUGGCCCCCAAGAAUGUGAGAGAUCUGUUGUUUCAAGUCAUCCAGUCUGUGGGGUUUUGGUACACAGGGAGGCAGAGUGGAGGCGAGAGGGUGGCGAGGAGGGGAGGAGCACAGGGAGGGAGGGGCUCAUCCAGGGACUGCAGGAAGGUGCAUAAAGGAUAUUGGGGCCCAGCAUGGUGGCUCAUGCCUGUAAUCCCAGUACUUUGGGAGGCCGAGGUGGGAGGAUCACUUGAGGUCAGGAGUUCGAGACCAGCCUGGCCAACAUGGUGAAUCCCUGUCUCUACUAAAAAUACAAAAAUUAGCCAGGCGUGGUGGCGGGCAUUUAUAAUCCCAGCUACUCAGGAGGCUGAGGCAGGACAAUCAUUUGAACCCAGGAGGCAGAGCCUGCAGUGAGCUGAGAUGGUGCCACUGCACUCCAGCCUGCAUGACAGAGCAAGACUCCAUCUAAAAAAAAAAAAGAGAGAAAGGAUAUUGGGAAACAGAGCCAGGCAUUUUGGAGAUGAGGGUGUCACCAAAAUGAGCAUGUGUCACCUUCCAGGGAUGGUCAGUGUGUGGCUGCUACAGCAACUGGCAGGGGGUAAACAGCAAAACAUGGCUGGGUGCAGUGGCUCACGCCUGUAAUCCCAGCACUUUGGGAGGCAGAGGUGGGAGGAUCGCUUGAGCCCAGGAAUUCAAGACCAGCCUGGCCAACAUAGUGAAACCCCACCUCUACUAAAAAUACAAAAAGUUUAGCCAGGCGUGGUGGUGCAUGCCUGUAGUCUCAGCUACUUGGGAGGCUGAGGCACAAGAAUUGUUUGAAUCUGGGAGGCGGAGGUUGCAGUGAGCCGAGAUUGCACUACUGCACUCCAUCCUGGGUGACAGUAAAAGACUCUGUCUCAAACACACGUGCGCACACACACACAGCAGAAGAUGGAGGGAGGAAGGACAGGGCCUACGGACUCAUUGGGUGCAGCAGGUAAGAGAGAAAACCUAUACCCAUAUUGCUGACUUGGGAAGUAGCCCUAUUUGUCUCUGAUGUCACAGAAGAAGAGUGACAGUCAAAUGUUGGUUACUUUUCCUGUUGCCUUAGUGAUCACUGUAGCUGAUGUUUGCUGAGAACCGUUUAUGUGCCAAUCCCUGCUCUAAGCACGUGGACUAAUGCAUCAACUCUCAACAACAACUUGUGAGGUGGGAACGAUCCUUAACUUCCUUUUACAAAUGAUAAAGCAGCCAUACAAAAUGAGGAUGACAACAUUCUCCUUGCCUACUCCCGGCCCACAGGGCUCUCUGUGAUUCAGCAAUGGUUGGCCCCUGGUGAGGGGAAACUGUGGCCUGGGCGCCUGCACUAUGUUUGUGCAAGAUCUGUAUUCUGAAAAUUAUGAAAUAUUGCUAAAUUAAAGAAGAACCGACCAGGCGCGGUAGCUCACCCUAGUCUACUGAUUUUCAGUAAAGGUAUUAAAUUAAUUCAAUGGGGAAAUGAAUACUUUUUUCAAAAAAUGGUUCUGGAACCAUUAGACAUCCAUAUGCAGAAAAAUGAGCCAUGAGCGUUAACUCACAUCAUACACAAUGCCUAACUGGAAAUGGACCACAGACCUAACGGUUUAUAUUAAAAAUCUAAAACUAUUAAACUAGAAGAAAACAUAAGAAAAAACUUCAUGAUCUUGAGGGUAGGCAAAGAUUUGUUAGGUAGAACAGAAAAAGUAGAAAUGACAAAAGAAAAUGAUAAUUUGAAAUUCCAUCAAAAUACAAAACUUCUCUUGUCCAGGAGCAGCAACUCACACCUGUAAUCCCAGCACUUUGGAAGGCCAACGUGGGAGGAUUGCUUAAGCCCAGUUCGAGACCAGCCUGGGCAACAUGGCCAGAUGCCAUCUCUACAAAAAAUACAAAAAUUAGUUGGGUGUGGUGGCACCUGCCUGUAGUCCCAGCUACUCAGGAGGCUGAACUGGGAGAAUCACCUGAGCCCAAGGAGGCUGAGGCUGCAGUGAGCUGUGAUUAUGCCACUGCACUCCAGCCUGGGCAACACAGUGAGACCCUAUCUCAAAACAACAACAACAACAACAACUUCUGCUCCGCAAAAGACACUGUUAAGAAAAUGAUAAACGUGGGUCAGGUGCAGUAGUUCAUGCCUGUAAUCCCAGCACUUUGGGAUGCCAAGGUGAGAGGAUCACUUGAGCCCCAGGAAGUCAAGACCAGGCUGGGCAAUAUGGCAAAACCUCAUCUCUACAAAAAAAAACAAAAAUUAGCCAGGUGUGGUAGCAUGUGCGUCUAGUCCCAGCUACUCAGGAGGCUGAGGUGAGAGGAUCACCUGAGCCCGGGCAGGUCGAGGCUGCAGUGAGCCAUGAUCACACCACUGCAUUCCAGCCUGGGCAACACAGUGAGACCCUGUCUCAAAAAAACAAAUUCUGCUCUGCAAAAGAUACUGUUAAGAAAAUGAUAAAGAUGGGUCAGGCGCACUGUUUCACACCUGUAAUCCCAGCAUUUUGGGAGGCUGAGGCGGAAGGAUCACUUGAGGCCAGGAGUUUGAGACCAGCCUGGGUAACACAGCAAGACCCUGCCUGUCUCUACAAAAAAUAGAAAUAAUGAAAUGAAAAGGCAAGUAUAGACUUGGAGAAAAUAUUUACAAUAUGCAUAUCUAACAAACGACUUGUUUCAGGAAUAUGUAAACAACUCUUUUUUUUUUUCUUUUUUUUUUUUGAGAUGGAGUCUAGAUCUGUCAUCAAUGCUGGAGUGCAGUAGUGCAAUCUUGGCUCACUGCAACCUCCACCUCCUGGGUUCAAGCGAUUCUCCUGCCUCAGCCUCCCAAGUAGCUGGGAUUACAGGUGCCCGCCACCACACCUGGCUAAUUUUUGAAUUUUUCAUAGAGACAAGGUUUCACCGUGUUGGCCAGGCUGAUCUCAAACUCCUGACCUCGUGAUCCGCCCGCCUCAGCCUCCUAAAGUGCUGGGAUUACAGGUGUGAGCUACUGCACCUGGCCUGGAAAACAAUUUCUUUUUUUUUUUGAGGCGGAGUUUUGCUCUUGUUGCCCAGGCUGGAGUGCAAUGGCGCAAUCUCAGCUCACCGCAACCUCAGCUCACCACAACCUCCGCCUCCCGGGUUCAAGCAAUUCUCCUGCCUCAGCCUCUGGAGUAGCUGGGAUUACAGGCAUGCGCCACCAUGCCUGGCUAAAUUUUGUAUUUUUAGUAGAGACGGGUUUUCUUUUUUUUUUUUUUUUUCUUUUUUGAGACGGAGUCUUGCUCUGUCAACCAGGCUGGAGUGCAG
This 6030-nucleotide long non-coding RNA is filed under the name Homo sapiens (human). Its description in RNAcentral is "HSALNT0260978". Lineage: Eukaryota; Metazoa; Chordata; Mammalia; Primates; Hominidae. The record is from RNAcentral.